GACGAACGCUGGCGGCGUGCUUAACACAUGCAAGUCGAACGGAAAGGCCCUGCUUUCGUGGGGUGCUCGAGUGGCGAACGGGUGAGUAACACGUGAGUAACCUGCUCUUGACUUUGGGAUAACUUCAGGAAACUGGGGCUAAUACAGGAUAGGAGCUCCUGCUGCAUGGUGGGGGUUGGAAAGUUUCGGCGGUUGGGGAUGGACUCGCGGCUUAUCAGCUUGUUGGUGGGGUAGUGGCUUACCAAGGCUUUGACGGGUAGCCGGCCUGAGAGGGUGACCGGCCACAUUGGGACUGAGAUACGGCCCAGACUCCUACGGGAGGCAGCAGUGGGGAAUAUUGCACAAUGGGCGGAAGCCUGAUGCAGCGACGCCGCGUGCGGGAUGACGGCCUUCGGGUUGUAAACCGCUUUCGCCUGUGACGAAGCGUGAGUGACGGUAAUGGGUAAAGAAGCACCGGCUAACUACGUG
This 468-nucleotide ribosomal RNA is filed under the name uncultured bacterium. Its description in RNAcentral is "partial 16S ribosomal RNA". It matches the Rfam family "Bacterial small subunit ribosomal RNA", at positions 28 to 507 of the family's 1533-position model. The record is from RNAcentral.